RNAcentral lists this long non-coding RNA (980 nucleotides) under Marmota monax (woodchuck). Lineage: Eukaryota; Metazoa; Chordata; Mammalia; Rodentia; Sciuridae. The record is from RNAcentral.
AGGGCAAACAGCAGUAUGCCAUUAAUCCAUUAACUUUGGAAUUCUGUGGUGAUUCAAUUCUGUUAUUAGCAGGCAUUUGCUUUUCUUUUAAAAGUGAAGUUUAAAGAAAACAAACCCUUGGAUAAGAAAGGAAUACCCAAUAGAGGAUUACUUGGAGUGUCUGCUCCAACAAAACAAAAAAGUCACAUCAGAGACAGCCAUACCUGACAUUACUGACAUAAUAUAUUGCUAACAUGUUCUAGGAAGAAGUCACAAGACUAGUGUUCCCCCAACUAUAGCAAGCAUUAGGAUCACCUGGAGAGCUGUUAAGAUAGCUUCUUGGGACAUACCCACAGGGAAUCUAUUCCUUAGCCCUGAGGUGGAGCUCAUGAAUUUUCACUUCUAAGAAUUUCCAGGUAUUACUGGUUCUGCAGACCCAGGGAGCACACUUUGUGUAAAUUGAGAAAAGUCAAACAAGCAUUUAGUGGUUUAAAUUUACCCAAAAAGAUGUUGGCACAUGCUUGCCCUCAGGUCAGUUGCUAAGGAGCUCAUGGAAGAGCAUGAGUGAUCUAAUAAGUAGCAAUUAGUUUUUUUCUAGAUCUAGCAGAGAUCCAAUUUAGAUUAUAGAAAAUUAUAUUCACCUCAAUAUUUGGAAGGCAGACAGUACCCUGACGUUUUCUUAGAUACCUUAUGAACCGCUUUGCUUGGAACCUCUUCACCUCAGCCUGGUCCUCAAAGAAUAUGACAAAACAAGGAAUUUCCAUCUCUUCUUUGUAACAGGAGGCCUGGGAUAGAGGUGACAAUGGGCAGAGACUCGGGGUGAGAGAAGCUGAUCUUUAAAAUAGGAAUCACACAAACUCACUUUGUUGUUUCAAUAGUUGUCUAGAAAGAGACUUCUGUUAGUCAUUCUUGAGAGCUAUUUUUGUCCUUUGACUUACAGAAAGCCUAGGUUCAGGGAGACAGCCAGAGCCAUCUCAGAGAAUCCAUGCAGAUUCCAAUAU